AAGUUCAAUGGCAUAAGUACCAAGUUCAACUUUAUUCCAAGAUUUCAAGCACCAUUCAAAACAUGUUCCAAAGAUUUAAAUCUCAUUCUUUUCUCAAGAAUUCCAAGUUUUUUUACAACAAAGAUUCAAACUCAAGAAGAAACUUACAUAAAUUUUCAAAUCAUCAAGAGUUUUCUUUCUAUGCCUAAUUACAAGAGAAACCAUGUUAAUACUUCUUUGUUUAAGUUGCAAGUUACAUUCAAUACAUACAAAAUUCAAGUCUUAUGGCCUAAGUUACAAGUAUCCGCGACAUUUCUUCCUAAGAGCUAG
Vicia faba (fava bean) is the source of this 309-nucleotide non-coding RNA. NCBI's taxonomy places the organism in Eukaryota, Viridiplantae, Streptophyta, Magnoliopsida, Fabales, Fabaceae. The record is from the annotation of a GenBank genome assembly.